UACGAAGGGGGCUAGCGUUGUUCGGAUUUACUGGGCGUAAAGGGCGCGUAGGCGGGCGACUAAGUCAGGGGUGAAAUCCCAAGGCUCAACCUUGGAACUGCCUUUGAUACUGGUUGUCUUGAGUCCGGGAGAGGUGAGUGGAACUGCGAGUGUAGAGGUGAAAUUCGUAGAUAUUCGCAAGAACACCAGUGGCGAAGGCGGC
Molecule: ribosomal RNA, 202 nt
Filed under: uncultured bacterium
Lineage: Bacteria
Description: partial 16S ribosomal RNA
Rfam family: Bacterial small subunit ribosomal RNA
Source: RNAcentral